GUAGGGAAUCUUCGGCAAUGGACGAAAGUCUGACCGAGCAACGCCGCGUGAGUGAAGAAGGUUUUCGGAUCGUAAAGCUCUGUUGUAAGUCAAGAACGUGUGUGAGAGUGGAAAGUUCACACAGUGACGGUAGCUUACCAGAAAGGGACGGCUAACUACGUGCCAGCAGCCGCGGUAAUACGUAGGUCCCGAGCGUUGUCCGGAUUUAUUGGGCGUAAAGGGAGCGCAGGCGGUCAGGAAAGUCUGGAGUAAAAGGCUAUGGCUCAACCAUAGUGUGCUCUGGAAACUGUCUGACUUGAGUGCAGAAGGGGAGAGUGGAAUUCCAUGUGUAGCGGUGAAAUGCGUAGAUAUAUGGAGGAACACCAGUGGCGAAAGCGGCUCUCUGGUCUGUCACUGACGCUGAGGCUCGAAAGCGUGGGUAGUGAACAGGAUUAGAUACCCUGGUAGUCCACGCCGUAAACGAUGAGUGCUAGGUGUUAGGCCCUUUCCGGGGCUUGGUGCCGGAGCUAACGCAAUAAGCACUCCGCCUGGGGAGUACGACCGCAAGGUUG
Molecule: ribosomal RNA, 551 nt
Filed under: uncultured bacterium
Lineage: Bacteria
Description: bacterial SSU rRNA
Rfam family: Bacterial small subunit ribosomal RNA
Source: RNAcentral